Molecule: transfer RNA, 73 nt
Filed under: Felis catus (domestic cat)
Lineage: Eukaryota; Metazoa; Chordata; Mammalia; Carnivora; Felidae
Rfam family: tRNA
About the family: Transfer RNA (tRNA) molecules are approximately 80 nucleotides in length. Their secondary structure includes four short double-helical elements and three loops (D, anti-codon, and T loops).
Source: Rfam by way of RNAcentral
GCCUGGCUGGCUUAGUCAGUAGAGCGUGCGACUCUAGAUCUUGGGGUUGUGAGUUCCAGUCUCACAUUGGGUG